UUUGUGGCGCAAAUGAAAUGCCAAUUGGCGCAAAAGCAAAGCACCGCAUUAUCAAUCAAUCAACUCAUUUCUAAAGCUAUAAUCUUUAAAUAUCUAUGUUAUAUAAAAAAAGAAAGAUGUGGUAUGAUUGCCAAUGAGACAAUUGUUCACAAAAGACCAAAAUGACACAGACAUUAACAACUAUAGGUCACCGUACGGCCUUCAACAAUGAGCAAAGCCCAUACCGCAUAGUCAGCUAUAAAAGGCACUGAUAAGACAAUGUAAAACAAUUCAAACGAGAAAACUAACGGCCUUAUUUAUAUAAAAAAAAAUGAACGAAAAACAAAUAUGUAACACAUAAAAAAACG
Molecule: long non-coding RNA, 347 nt
Filed under: Mytilus galloprovincialis (Mediterranean mussel)
Lineage: Eukaryota; Metazoa; Mollusca; Bivalvia; Mytilida; Mytilidae
Source: RNAcentral